UCUUGUCUCUAAAAGAUAUAUAUAUAUAUACACACACACACACAGAAUUAGAGAGAUGUGGCUUUGCAGCACGUUCCCACACAGAGAGGCAGGGAGGUCAGCUGGCUGUCAGUGCAGUGCCCAGGUCCAACAGAUAGGUAUGGUUGCCAAAAACCAGACAAAGGAGGUCACUGUGCCCACCUGAAGUGGGACAUUGGAAAGUUGCCAAGUAGAUGCUGUGGAAGGCAGCACAAGAUCAAGGGUAGCUGAACACCUCAGCACAUAAAGAAUCUUUCCAGGAAUCAUGAGAAGAAGGAAGAGCUUGAACAGAAGUGGUGAGGUCCAUGCAGUCGGAAGGGCUUUGGUGUGGAAGGAGCUGGGGCUCAUGCAAUAAUUCAGCAGUUUCUGGGACAGGAUAUGUGCUCAAGGUAUAUGAAUGGGCAUGUUGAGUUAUGACCAUCCUUCCCAUCGUGGCUAUGCUUAUAUGACUUCGGGGGCAAAGCUAGGUCCAAAAUAUGGAUGUGCCAGAGAAUAGGCUUUGGAUAAUUUAUAGAACGUCUUCUCAGCUGGCGCUUUGCAGUGAUGCGCUGGGCUGCCUCUUUGGGAGGGAAAGGGCUUAUGGAUUAGACAGCCCUCUGAGGGCUCACAGAGAGGGGCUUCUAUGGUGGGAAGUGCCCUUCACACUGAGAAUCGUGAUUCCAAAUGAAGGGUGUCUAAGUAAUGAUGAUGACUCCAUGUUGGAUGGUUAAGCAUCUGCCACUGUGGGUCACCUCGCCCAUGUAUCAGGGAGGAUCAAAGAGGACCCUCGAUCAUGGCCACACAGCUAGCAAGAGGAAGGCAGGACUGGCCCAGGGAUUCUGAUUCCACAUCAACAGAGUUUUUAACAUCCCCAGAGUGUCCCUGAUUCCCUCUUCAUGACGCUGCACUAGCUGCCAUAUUCAUACAGGGAAGCACACCAGCACCUGCAUCUCCCCUACUAACAGCCCUCCUCACAACCGCACUGCUUCUCAGCUGCCCUGACUGGUCUCAAUUAACAUUCAUUGAAUAAUGAGUAAAUAACUAAACGGAUGGACAAUUGAACCUCUUCCCUUAGAUGUCCAGCACUCUACACCUAAUGCUGCCCCUGGGUGUCAGCAAAUGAAACCUGGAGGCAGGAUUGUGGUACUCCUCCAAUGCCAGAGUUGGAGGAGAGAGAUCAUUGCUGGAAUGGAGAUCUGGGGCCCAGAGAACAGCUCCUACAGUCAGGAGUAAAUGGCAAAAAGCCACUAAUUCCAAUCUAAAUAGCUAAUGCUAUUGAAUACCUACUAUGUGCAGCACUUUCCUAAGAAUUUUUCAUGCAAGAACUCUUUGCAUCCUCAGAACAACUCUCUGUGGUAAUUGUUCCUCUAUUUCUAGUUUACGGGUGAGGAAACUGAGGUCAGUAGGUGUUAAGUAACUUGCUAUGCAUGCAUUAAGUAGCUGGUUGAGCUGAGGCUCAGCCCUGGCAGUGGCUUCAUCAUUGUGCCUUGUGAGCCCCUCCAAGGUCACAUGGUCCAGCAAACUACAGCAAACUGGGGAGUAGCCAGGAGUAAAAUCAUGUGGGGAACUUGAGGGGUGACUUCAGGGGAGGAACAGCCCCAUGUCUCAGUCUGUGAUCCCACACACAGAAGGACAUCAUUUGUGCUCAAGGUAACUUGAGCAGGCAGGGCAUGGGAGAGAAAAGAGGCUCAGGCCUGGGGCCCUGGGUCUGCUCAUCUCCGCACAACUUGUAUGUUUCUUGUCAAUUGUGCCUGAACAUACUGUAAAGCUUCUCCCUUAAAAAGCCAAAAGAGUAAAGUUUGAGGGAUUUGUAGGACACUAACAAGAACCAAACCUGAGGCUUAUUUAUGCCAGUCUAACUAUUAAUAGUUCCUGGAAUGGCUUUACACAAACAAGAAUAAGGCUGUCUAUCCCCACGCAGGAAAGUUCAUGUGCAAAUACCACAAGGCUGGACAGUCCGGCUGCAUGUGCCCUGCACCUGAGGCCCCCAGCCCAAGGGAACCCUCAGGACAAACAGCAGAGAAGCUCUGGGUGCCAGGGCAUCCUCCUCGACAGGCCCCCUACCCUGGCAUGGGCACGUGAGGCCUGAGAGCCCACUGGAGGUGGAGACAUUGAGGCUUCCACUAGUGGCCACUCAUGGCAGAGGCCAGGGACCCCAACCUGACUAGCCACUGCUCGUAGCCCAGGGGCUGUGCACCUUGGAGGGGUCACCAGCCCCUCUGAAGACCUGCCGAGUGCCACCGCAGGGCUCAAUUCAGGCCCUCCACCUCAUCAGAGUGACGGCUCAUCUUUCAAGGCUCCCAGAUCAGGAGUCUGUGUUCCACAUGUGUGCUGUCCAACCUGGUAGCCACAUGCAGUUGUGGGCAUUUAAAUUAAAAUUAACUGAAAUUAGAUAAAACUUUCAAUCCAGUUCCUAGUCACAGUAGCCACAUUUCAGUUGCUUAGGAGCCACAUGUGACUUGUGGCCGCUGCUUUGACCAGCACAGAUACAGAACUUUUCCAUCCUUGCAGAAGGUUCUAUCAGACAGUGCUGCACUAGAGAGUUUGGGAAGCCACCUUGUGACUUCCCCGGGUCCUCGGAGAGUUUUCUGUUUCUGCCUCCUCUGCUGUCGCUGCUGUCUCUUGGCCUUCAGACUGAGACAGGAGGCCCAGGCUGGGAGAGGCCCAGCAGCAGCUAGCAGCAAGCAGGACAAGGCCCACAGAGGGUGCCCUAUCAAUCAGACAUUGCUGGGUGCAUUUGCCGAGACUGGGAGCUCACACAGUGGCCAUGAGAGCAGCGACACAUUUCCAGCAGCGGAGCCUACAGUUAGAGGACAGAUCACGAGAGGUGUGGGGUCCACCCCAACUGGAGCAGGCCCUGAGCAGCUCCCAGAGCCCCCCACACACUGAGACUGCAGGUGUCGAAGUUGCAAUGGUAGCAGCCACUGCAGACAAUGGAUGCUCCCCCCCAGGUUUCCUGGCAUCACCUAAGCCCAAGUUUGUUUGAUGACAUCUGGAGCAUUAUGACAAGAAAGGAUCCCCAAUAAUGACAGAAUUUGAAUCUCCCAAUAACCAGGCAGAGAGGGUGAGGUAGGGCAGGGCGAUCUUGGAGCAGAUUUAAUAUAAUUUAGAGAUUUCUAGAGUAAAGGUACGUCACAUUUUGAUACCUUGGCAUUAUAGACUGGAAUUCAUACCCGUUAAACAAAUAAUUGAGCCAGUAUGGAGAAUUAUUACAUGGGGAAUAAGGAGGCUGAAAUUAAAACAGGGACAGGACAGAGAAUCCUGUUCUGAAAAUCCUGCUUGUCAUUUCCAAAGCUCGAGUGAGCAUUGAGGAUGUCGGGCUCAUCAACAGUACAUGAAACCAAGCCUGCCUGCCUUCCUCAGAGGCAAGAGUUAGGUCCACAUUUCCUGGCACGCAGCUCUGGGUAAUUCACAAUUCCGAAGCUGCCCCUAGAGAGACCAGCCUAUGUUGGCCAGGGCAAGUCCUUCUGUGAUUGCUCUCUGCCCUCUUGGGGCCUACAUGUCCACUGGGCAUGCUGGGCACAGUGCAUGGGGCCCAUGAUACUGUUAGGGGCCUGCACAAGUGUUUUAAUUUUGAUUUAUUUUAAAAUCAGAGGAAAACCACAAAUAAACGAAAAUGAAUGUAUAAUAAUGAAUCAGCCUGAAUGACAUUUAUCUUUCUGCCAGAGCAGUCACACUCUGCUUUUUCAUAAGAAAGUGGUCUGCAAAGACCAAAGCACCUGGGGUCCCUGGGCAUCACCAUGAGGCCAUGACCCUUGCCCCCUAUACCAGAGACCUGAAAGGCAGCUCCACACAGAAGUGACCCUGACACCCUGAAAAAUACUCCUACAGGUUGAAUUUCAGCUGGAAUAUUUUUCCCACCUCCCUCUGCAUCCGGCUCCAAAAAUAGUCAAAUCUCCAGGCAGGCAAAAUAGCUGGUCACCCAAAGACCUGUGACCAUCUGCCUGCUCUGCCAUCCUUAGCACUGGUUUCUUUCCUCCACAUUGUCUUAUGGCUUCAUGAAGGCUGUUGGAGCUCCAGCCAUCACGUCUGCAUUCCAGACAGGGGGAAGGAGAGAAUUCAGGUGCAAAAUGCUAAGCCUAUUACAUGUCAGUCUCCUUUAGAGAGCUUUUCUAGAAUCCCUAGCUAACCCUUUCAGCCUAUAUCUUUCAUUGGCCACCGUAUCUGUAAAGGAGACUAGGAAAUAUCGUUUUUUAACUGGGCACACUGUUGUCCCUAACAACAUGGACUUGUGGUUGACAACAGAGGAAGCAGAAGAGAAUGCAUACUGGAAGUCUCUACAACAGAGUGCUGAAGACAACCAGCUUGAUAUUGUAUAGUACUCUCUCCUGUGAGUGGGCCUGGGGACAAAUCAUUUAACUUCUCUGUAACCAGGGUCUACUUGAUGAAGUAACCUCAUUGCCCACACCAGAAGCAUCAGGAAGGGUACCAAGGAGAUGGUAGCUUCAAGGACUUUGGACCACUUGGAGGAGGGUAUUCAAAGGGACAGAAGUCACUUGCUUGAUUCUUGUAUUAAAAUCAAGUGGGAUUUCUUUUCAUUCAUGCAUUUCACCAGUACUUAUCACGUAUCCAAUAAAGCAACAAGGACAAUCCAAACACUGUUCUGUUGCCUGAGGGCUGACUUGGGGCCAGGCACUGUUCCGGAUCCUUUGCACAUGUGGCCUCACUUAGUCCUCAGAACCAUAUGUGGCAGAGUCUACCAUUAUCAUCCCCAUCAUUCAGAUGUGGAAUUGGGACAAAGAGGGGUUAAGGAUGAUGCCCGGGGUCACACUGUUAAUACACAAAGGAGCCUAGCUUUGAACAAACAGCCUAGCUCUUAGACCCCAAGGAGGUGGUAGCGAAUUGGCAGACAAGGUCUCACCUUUUUUUGUCUUUCUAGUGAAACACAUAUAAGCCCAAUUAUGUAAGGCCAUCAUAAAUUUCCCCCAGGAGACUGGCACAGGGAGAUGGGGGCUACUCUCACCUUCUGCAGCACACACCAAGAAUCUCUGCUGUGCUUGGGUUCAUGACUCACCCCUUCCCUCAAAGCCAGCUCUUCCUGAGUCAGGACCAUGUCCUUUGAGUCCUGAGGUGCAGCAAGGAAACUGUCCAGACUUGGCUUCAAAAGCCAGGCUACUUUCCAGCAAAGAGCCAAAUGGCUGGUUGCUUAGAAUUUUUAGAACAGGUUCAUCUCCAAGGACAUGGAGUCUAUUCACAUAAAUCAACCUGAUCAAAGGCCAGAGAAGCUAAAACUGUCACAUACCCAUUAUCUACUGGCAUAAUCAAGGCCAAAGGGAUUCAUAAGGAGGCGGUGGGUUUUGGAGGGAGAGUGCUUGCUGCUAUUUCACCUUGGACCUGAGUCCCCUCUUGUGUGCCCCUUGCUCUGCAUCAUCUCAGGGCCUUGCCUCACUCCUCCAUCUUCCUCCUCCAGCUCCUUUACAGAUAGGGUGGCCAGUGAAAGACUAGGCUGAAAGGGUUAGCUGGGAAUUCAAGGAAAGGCCUGCAGAGGAGUCUGACAUCUAGGAGGCUUUGCCUUUUGCCCCCCACUUCCUUCCUCUCUUCUGUCUGGAAUGCAGAAGUGAUGGCAGGAGCUCCAGCAGCCUUCUUGAAGCAUAAGAUAACUUGGAGGAAGGAAGCCAGUGCUAAGGAUGGCGGAGUAGGCAGAUGGAUGAACUGGCUGCCUGUUGACCCUUGUCCCAGAAAACCUGCUUCCUGUUUGAGGACGGAACAGAAAGAGCAAUAGAAUCCUUUUUCUGUGCAAGAGAAAUUAAGCCUGACUCUUUUCGGAGCCCUUGCUAUUUUAUACAUUUUCCCUUGUAUCUAGCUGAAUUGAUAGAAACUUAUCAAUGUAUUAAUCAACACUCCGUAAGUGAUUUGUCCAGUGAGAACAGCUAAAAUAAUACAUUUUCUGUCAUCAUUAAAAAUCCUGUGAUUUUUAGUCCAAUAAAUGUUUUAAAGGGCAGGAUGAAGAGAAGAGCUACAAGACCCUGUAACAGAAGCCCUCACUCGCAGGGUUAUCACUCCUAAAACAAAAGAUAAGCAGGAAAACCACAGUGGAUAAGAUCUGCUGUCAACCUUAGCUUUUCUGAUUACACAAAGUGCAAUAACAUCUAUUUUUUUUAAUCCGAAGGAAUCCUCUGACACCACCAAGCAUCCUGCCCACUCCUCCUUCCUGAGCGCUCAACUUCCUUCUGAUCUAUUGUCGGCUUUUCCUUGCCUGAGCUCUGUGAUCUAACCAGAACCCAACGGAACCUAUAGAGAGUCCAAUCCUUGCCCGACAGCCCUGAGCCAGGCCCAUAGCUGCCUAGCCUACAGCACUGGGGGCAGAGGGAGGUCCUCUGGAUUAUGGCACAGGGGGAAGUUGCAGGAAAAACUCCCCACAAAUUAGCACCAUCUACAAUUGACCAACAAAGUGCAGAUACUUCUCAGCAUUCAAAGCCUAAACAAUCAGGAUGGAGACGUAUAAAGCAUUCAAUGCUUCACGUUGGCAGGACGAUACCAGGUAUUUCACUGACAGGUGAAAUAGCAGAGUGACGGGACAGAGUGAUCAAGGCAGAGUGAUCUAAAGGACACAGUAGUACUUCUUUAGGACCCUGGCAGAAUGGAAGAGAGCAUCUGGCUUCUAAGGCACUGCACAAACUUGAAUGAUCUUCUUCAGAAUUGACAAGGAAAGGCCAUGUUAUGUUCACCCUGGGUUAAGUUUUAAGUGUAUCUUAUUUAAUUUUUUUCAAUAUGAGUCAUCUCCAGAUACUGUGAUGAUUUCCAAAUAACCAGAAUCUAGAUGACUAGAAAUUUACUCUAGCUGGCUUUAGACAGGAAGCGUGAGGACAGAAUCCAGCUGCUUCCACUCCAGGGUAGGUCUGAAGCCAACCGUCCUCGGUUUCCUGGCCUGUGGCAUCAGUCUGGUUGGAUUACACACAAAGCCCUGCAGAUCUGCUGCUUUUCCUGAUUCUCCUGUCCUGAGUGAGUGCAAGGGGCUCCCCUGUCGUCGAUGUGUUCUUUGAAGCAGAUGCUGUGCCUGAUACCUGCUGGAGAGUCCCACCGCCUUGAGCUUCUGGGUCGAGAAAGGCCAAGUUGCACACUACUGAGAGACUGCCAUGCACCCCCUGGAGGCCUCAGAACAUUCGACAUGCUUCAGUCAUGGCCACGGCAGUGACUGCUGAUUGCCUAACCCCACAUGUGUUCUCCCCCUUCCCUGAUAAUCAAGCCCCUGAUUUUCAGCUGGGCACAAAAUAAUUCUUCCUAGAACAACUCCAUGUGUGUUAUCGCCCUUGCAGCUGGGGGUGGCCACCACUGGGGAGAGGCAGGGUGAAGAGGUGGAAGGAGCCUGAGUUAGCAGGGAUGAGCAGUGGCCAGGUAACCCCAGACCCACUAUCCUCUGGAUUUCUUUUAUGUGAAACAAUAAAAUGUCUUGUAUUCGA
Molecule: long non-coding RNA, 7397 nt
Filed under: Homo sapiens (human)
Lineage: Eukaryota; Metazoa; Chordata; Mammalia; Primates; Hominidae
Description: HSALNT0305099
Source: RNAcentral